Molecule: ribosomal RNA, 150 nt
Filed under: uncultured eukaryote
Lineage: Eukaryota
Description: partial small subunit ribosomal RNA
Rfam family: Eukaryotic small subunit ribosomal RNA
Source: RNAcentral
CCCUGCCUUUUGUACACACCGCCCGUCGGUACUACCGAUUGAAUGGCUUAGUGAGAUCUUCGGAUUGCCAGUUCUUGCUGAAAGGCUAGAAUUGAUAAAAAGUUGCUCAAACUUGGUCAUUUAGAGGAAGUAAAAGUCGUAACAAGGUUU